Molecule: ribosomal RNA, 473 nt
Filed under: Streptococcus sanguinis
Lineage: Bacteria; Bacillati; Bacillota; Bacilli; Lactobacillales; Streptococcaceae
Description: bacterial SSU rRNA
Rfam family: Bacterial small subunit ribosomal RNA
Source: RNAcentral
GACGAACGCUGGCGGCGUGCCUAAUACAUGCAAGUAGAACGCUGAAGAGAGGAGCUUGCUCUUCUUGGAUGAGUUGCGAACGGGUGAGUAACGCGUAGGUAACCUGCCUGGUAGCGGGGGAUAACUAUUGGAAACGAUAGCUAAUACCGCAUAAAAUUGAUUAUUGCAUGAUAAUUAAUUGAAAGAUGCAAUUGCAUCACUACCAGAUGGACCUGCGUUGUAUUAGCUAGUUGGUGAGGUAACGGCUCACCAAGGCGACGAUACAUAGCCGACCUGAGAGGGUGAUCGGCCACACUGGGACUGAGACACGGCCCAGACUCCUACGGGAGGCAGCAGUAGGGAAUCUUCGGCAAUGGGGGGAACCCUGACCGAGCAACGCCGCGUGAGUGAAGAAGGUUUUCGGAUCGUAAAGCUCUGUUGUAAGAGAAGAACGGGCGUGAGAGUGGAAAGUUCACACUGGACGGUAUCUACCA